UGGAAUAACUUCAGAUGGUCAUUAAAC
This 27-nucleotide small RNA is filed under the name Bombyx mori (domestic silkworm). RNAcentral's name for it is "ovarian small RNA-34482". The record is from RNAcentral. Lineage: Eukaryota; Metazoa; Arthropoda; Insecta; Lepidoptera; Bombycidae.